GCCGUCUAUUUGUUUUUCAAUGGUUAUAGCUUUCACAAACAGAUUAAAAUGGUUUCUGAUUGAAUUCAAAUGUUCAAGAGGUGAAGUUUUGUUUGACAAACAGAUUUACAGCUCAUGCAAUAAAGAGAUACGACAAAAACUAGUCUGGUACCCACACAACAUACUUAUAUGGCUAAUUUGGAGAUUAUCGUUGAGCGAAAAAUAAAAUGUAGAUGGUGUAUAAAGUAUUAAUUAAAGACUCUAUGAUAUAAAAAAUACAGAUCAUACCUUGGAAGCAGUACGUAAACAAAACAAAAUAUCUAUGAAUAUGAUAUAUCUCCCCAAAAGAGGCGUGGUUUGUCAAACAGCUGUAUUUACAGGUGCAAUCUUUAGAUAGAAGAUAAAAUAUCGAUACAUUGUAGAUGUCUACGGACUGUUUUUUUUUUAUUGGUAUGUCAUAUUUGUAUUUUGAAGAAAACUAAGUCUUACAAAAAUGUUUUGCCUUGAGACAGAAAAUAAAUAUCUUGAUACUUUGUU
RNAcentral lists this long non-coding RNA (516 nucleotides) under Mytilus galloprovincialis (Mediterranean mussel). Lineage: Eukaryota; Metazoa; Mollusca; Bivalvia; Mytilida; Mytilidae. The record is from RNAcentral.